CGUUGUCAUCCUACGGGAGGCAGCAGUGGGGAAUAUUGCACAAUGGGCGCAAGCCUGAUGCAGCCAUGCCGCGUGUGUGAAGAAGGCCUUCGGGUUGUAAAGCACUUUCAGUCGUGAGGAAGGUAGUGUAGUUAAUAGCUGCAUUAUUUGACGUUAGCGACAGAAGAAGCACCGGCUAACUCCGUGCCAGCAGCCGCGGUAAUACGGAGGGUGCGAGCGUUAAUCGGAAUUACUGGGCGUAAAGCGCAUGCAGGUGGUUUGUUAAGUCAGAUGUGAAAGCCCGGGGCUCAACCUCGGAAUAGCAUUUGAAACUGGCAGACUAGAGUACUGUAGAGGGGGUAGAAUUUCAGGUGUAGCGGUGAAAAUGCGUAGAGAUCUGAAGGAAUACCGGUGGCGAAGGCGGCCCCCUGGACAGAUACUGACACUCAGAUGCGAAAGCGUGGGGAGCAAACAGGAUUAGAUACCCUGGUAG
Molecule: ribosomal RNA, 472 nt
Filed under: uncultured bacterium
Lineage: Bacteria
Description: bacterial SSU rRNA
Rfam family: Bacterial small subunit ribosomal RNA
Source: RNAcentral